Molecule: ribosomal RNA, 253 nt
Filed under: uncultured bacterium
Lineage: Bacteria
Description: partial 16S ribosomal RNA
Rfam family: Bacterial small subunit ribosomal RNA
Source: RNAcentral
UACGUAGGUGGCAAGCGUUGUCCGGAUUUACUGGGCGUAAAGGGCGUGCAGGCGGUUUGUUAAGUCUAGGGUGAAAGCUCCCGGCUCAACUGGGAGAGGUCCUUGAAUACUGGAAGACUUGAGGCAAUGAGAGGGGUGUAGAAUUCCCGGUGUAGUGGUGAUAUGCGUAGAUAUCGGGAGGAACACCAGUGGCGAAGGCGGCUCUCUGGGCCUUUCCUGACGCUGAGACGCGAAAGCGUGGGGAGCGAACCGG